GUAGGGAAUAUUGGGCAAUGGUCGGAAGACUGACCCAGCCAUGCCGCGUGCAGGAAGACGGCCCUCUGGGUUGUAAACUGCUUUUAUCUGGGAAGAAAAAGGCCAUGCGUGGCAAAUUGCCGGUACCAGAUGAAUAAGCACCGGCUAACUCCGUGCCAGCAGCCGCGGUAAUACGGAGGGUGCGAGCGUUGUCCGGAGUUAUUGGGUUUAAAGGGUGCGUAGGCGGCUGCUUAAGUCAGCGGUGAAAGACUUCGGCUUAACCGGAGCAGUGCCGUUGAUACUGGUUGGCUUGAGUGUCGGAGGGGUACAUGGAAUUGAUGGUGUAGCGGUGAAAUGCAUAGAUACCAUCAGGAACACCGAUAGCGAAGGCAUUGUACUGGCCGACAACUGACGCUGAUGCACGAAAGUGUGGGGAUCGAACAGGAUUAGAAACCCGUGUAGUCC
This 444-nucleotide ribosomal RNA is filed under the name uncultured bacterium. RNAcentral describes it as "partial 16S ribosomal RNA". It matches the Rfam family "Bacterial small subunit ribosomal RNA", at positions 354 to 796 of the family's 1533-position model. The record is from RNAcentral.